RNAcentral lists this ribosomal RNA (227 nucleotides) under uncultured bacterium. Its description in RNAcentral is "partial 16S ribosomal RNA". It matches the Rfam family "Bacterial small subunit ribosomal RNA", at positions 260 to 504 of the family's 1533-position model. The record is from RNAcentral.
ACGGCCUACCAAGUCGACGAUCAGUAGCCGGGUUGAGAGACUGACCGGCCACAUUGGGACUGAGAUACGGCCCAGACUCCUACGGGAGGCAGCAGUGGGGAAUAUUGGGCAAUGGGCGCAAGCCUGACCCAGCAACGCCGCGUGAAGGAUGAAGGCUUUCGGGUUGUAAACUUCUGUUCUUAGUGAAGAUAGUGACGGUAGCUAAGGAGCAAGCCACGGCUAACUAC